This 21-nucleotide non-coding RNA is filed under the name Arabidopsis thaliana (thale cress). The record is from RNAcentral. Lineage: Eukaryota; Viridiplantae; Streptophyta; Magnoliopsida; Brassicales; Brassicaceae.
UGUAGUUGCAAAGAGCAUCAA